AACCAGCACCUCAAGUGGUCAGGAUGAUUAUUGGGCCUAAAGCAUCCGUAGCCGGCUCUGUAAGUUUUCGGUUAAAUCUGCACGCUUAACGUACAGGCUGCCGGGAAUACUGCAGAGCUAGGUAGUGGGAGAGGUAGACGGUACUCGGUAGGAAGGGGUAAAAUCCUUUGAUCUAUUGAUGACCACCUGUGGCGAAGGCGGUCUACCAGAACACGUACGACGGUGAGGGAUGAAAGCUGGGGGAGCAAACCGGAUUAGAUACCCGGGUAGUCCCAGCUGUAAACUAUGCAAACUCAGUGAUGCAUUGGCUUGUGGCCAAUGCAGUGCUGCAGGGAAGCCGUUAAGUUUGCCGCCUGGGAAGUACGUACGCAAGUAUGAAACUUAAAGGAAUUGGCGGGGGAGCACCACAAGGGGUGAAGCCUGCGGUUCAAUUGGAGUCAACGCCAGAAAUCUUACCCGGAGAGACAGCAGAAUGAAGGUCAAGCUGAAGACUUUACCAGACAAGCUGAGAGGUGGUGCAUGGCCGUCGCCAGCUCGUGCCGUGAGAUGUCCUGUUAAGUCAGGUAACGAGCGAGAUCCCUGCCUCUAGUUGCCACCAUUACUCUCAGGAGUAGUGGGGCGAAUUAGCGGGACCGCCGCAGUUAAUGCGGAGGAAGGAAGGGGCCACGGCAGGUCAGUAUGCCCCGAAACUCUGGGGCCACACGCGGGCUGCAAUGGUAACGACAAUGGGUUUCGAAUUCGAAAGGAUGAGGUAAUCCUCAAACGUUACCACAGUUAUGACUGAGGGCUGCAACUCGCCCUCACGAAUAUGGAAUCCCUAGUAACUGCGUGUCACUAUCGCGCGGUGAAUACGUCCCUGCUCCU
RNAcentral lists this ribosomal RNA (864 nucleotides) under uncultured archaeon. Its description in RNAcentral is "SSU rRNA". It matches the Rfam family "Archaeal small subunit ribosomal RNA", at positions 474 to 1337 of the family's 1478-position model. The record is from RNAcentral.